Molecule: ribosomal RNA, 281 nt
Filed under: uncultured fungus
Lineage: Eukaryota; Fungi
Description: partial 18S ribosomal RNA
Rfam family: Eukaryotic small subunit ribosomal RNA
Source: RNAcentral
UUGGAGGGCAAGUCUGGUGCCAGCAGCCGCGGUAAUUCCAGCUCCAAUAGCGUAUAUUAAAGUUGUUGCAGUUAAAAAAGCUCGUAGUUGAACUUCAGACCUGACCGGGCGGUCCGCCUAACGGUGUGUACUGUCUGGCCGGGCCUUACCUCUUGGUGAGCCGGCAUGCCCUUCACUGGGUGUGUCGGGGAACCAGGACCUUUACCUUGAGAAAAUUAGAGUGUUCAAAGCAGGCUUACGCCGGAAUACAUUAGCAUGGAAUAAUAAAAUAGGACGUGCGG